RNAcentral lists this ribosomal RNA (1731 nucleotides) under Triticum aestivum (bread wheat). Its description in RNAcentral is "partial small subunit ribosomal RNA". The record is from RNAcentral. Lineage: Eukaryota; Viridiplantae; Streptophyta; Magnoliopsida; Poales; Poaceae.
AUGGCAUCCAAUUCAUCGGCGGCGGCUGUCGCGGCGCUGUUCGGGAUUAGGGAAGGGCACCAGCAGGACCAGAUGAAGCCGCUGCUCGCCCAGCACCAGCGGCAGCAUGUCGCCGCGCCGCCCAGCGCGCUGUUGACAGCGGGGCCAGACCAGGCGGCCGCGGCGGCGCCACCGGUGAAGAAGAAGAGGACCAUGCCAGACCCUGACGCGGAGGUGAUCGCGCUGUCGCCCAAGACGCUGAUGGCGACGAACCGGUUCGUGUGCGAGGUAUGCAACAAGGGGUUCCAGCGGGAGCAGAACCUGCAGCUGCACCGGCGCGGGCACAACCUGCCGUGGAAGCUGAAGCAGAAGGACCCGAACCAGGUGCAGCGGCGGCGGGUGUACCUGUGCCCGGAGCCGACGUGCGUGCACCACGAGCCGGGCCGCGCGCUGGGCGACCUCACCGGCAUCAAGAAGCACUUCUGCCGCAAGCACGGCGAGAAGAAGUGGAAGUGCGACAAGUGCGCCAAGCGCUACGCCGUGCAGUCCGACUGGAAGGCGCACUCCAAGAUCUGCGGCACCCGCGAGUACCGCUGCGACUGCGGCACCCUAUUCUCACGGAGGGACAGCUUUAUCACCCACAGGGCCUUCUGCGACGCCCUAGCCCAGGAGAGCGCGCGGCUGCCGCCCGGGGCCGGCCACCUCUACGGCGCCACCGGCGCGGCCAACAUGGCACUCAGCCUCUCGCAGGUCGGCUCCUCCCUCCACGACGCGCACGGUCAAUACCACCAGGCGUCCUCGGAUCUCCUCCGCUUCGGCGGUGGCGGUGGCGGCGGCAUGGCUGCCCGCCUCGACCACCUCCUGUCGUCGUCCAACGCCCCGUCCUUCCGCCACCUGCCGCCUCCACAAGCGCCGCCAUUCCACCUCGGCUCAGCGCAGGAGUUCGUCGACGGGAAUGGAUCGCCCGCGUUCUUGCAGGGCAAACCGUUCCACGGCCUCAUGCAGCUCCCGGAUCUCCAGGGCAACGGCUCCGGCGGCACGUCGUCGUCGGCUCCUGGUCUUUUCAACCUCGGAUACAUCGCCAACAGUGCCAAUAGCUCCGGUACCUCCAGCCACGGCCACGCGAGUCAGGGACACAUGGCCAAUGACCAGAUCAGCGAAGGAGGCGGCGGCGGAGGUGCUGGUUCUGAGAAUUCGGGCGCGGCGUUCUUCAGCGCCGGUGGGAACUUUUCCGGUGGCGACCACCAGGUUGCUCCUUCUGGGAUGUACAACGAGCAAUCCGUGAUGAUGCCGCAGAUGUCGGCGACGGCGCUGCUCCAGAAGGCGGCGCAGAUGGGCUCUAGCACAAGCGCAGACGGCGGUGGCGCGUCCGUGUUCGGCGGUUUCAUGGGCUCGUCUGUCCCGCAGGGCCGCGCACCCAUGCUCGACCAGGGACAGAUGCACCUGCAGAGCCUGAUGAACUCGCUGGCCGGCGGCGGCAAUGGUGGCGGAAUGUUUGGCGGCGCCAACGGCCGCGGCAUGAUUGAUCCGAGGCUGUAUGAUAUGGAUCAGCACGAGGUCAAAUUUAGCCAGGGCCGUGGCGGCGCUGGCGGGGACGUGACGCGGGACUUUCUUGGCGUCGGUGGCAGAGGGGACAUGAUGAGGGGGAUGUCAGUGGCAAGAGGAGAGAACCACAGCGGCAGCGACAUGAGCUUCUUGGAGGCGGAGAUGAAGUCGGCCUCGUCGCCUUUCAAUGGAGGCAGGAUGCAGUGA